Humulus lupulus (European hop) is the source of this 1053-nucleotide long non-coding RNA. RefSeq lists it as uncharacterized. The transcript has 3 exons. The record is from RefSeq and is a predicted model, not a curated record. Lineage: Eukaryota; Viridiplantae; Streptophyta; Magnoliopsida; Rosales; Cannabaceae.
ACUCGGUCUCUCUCUCAGUCUCUCGGUCUCUCGGUUUCAGUUCGUGGUCCGUUCGUAGCUUGCUCUUGCAGGUCAGCCCUCUUGCAUGUCUUCCCGUAGCUUGUUUUGUUUUUGUUAUUGCAGUGUGGGUUUUGUGUAGAUUGUUGCUCUGUUUUAUCGGACAUUUGUUUCUAAUCUGCAUUUCUUCUAGCAUUUCUUCUGCAUUUCUAAUCUGCAUUUCUUCAGUCUUGCAGGUCCCGUAGCUUGCUCUUGCAGGUCAGCCCUCUCUUUGUACCCAGUUCUCAUUUGCUCUAUCAAUGGAGGAGCCUCUUCUAUUCUGAGAAAUACCUCAAACCCACCAGCUGUUUCACUCAUUCUCAGGAGAUUGGAUGUUGGAAGCUGGGGCCCUAGUUUUAGUAGAUGGAGGACUUUGCUGCAUAGAUGAAUUUGAUAGGUUGGGGAUCGAAUUGGCAAGGAGCAUUGCAAAGGUAAUUUGCAAGAGGUACGGAAUUUGUUCUUUUAACUCUUAUUAUUAAUAUCUUUAAAAUGUUAGAGGAGUUUGAAUAUCUUAAAUAUUCAUCCAUAGAGAAGUAGUUUCUGAGAUUAAAAUUGUGUGCUGCGGUGAUAACGGAAGGUUGAAAACUUGUGUGUAUUAGAGAAGUAGGUUCUGGAAAAUUUGUUUGUGUGCUGCGGUGAUAUAAGGAAGAAAACUUAUUGUGUGUUGUUUGAAUUUUUUGACUUGGUAUUGAUAGAUGGUUAGGUAAGCUUUUAUAUGUAUAGAUUAGAUUUUUCAUUAUAUGUAUAGAUUAAAUUUUUCAUUUAGUCAUAUUGUUUUCAUUAUUUCCAUAUGUAUAGAUUAGAUUUAAUUGCCACAACCCAAGCUAAAAUCUUGUCUUUGAUCCAAACCCAAUUAGUUAGUGGCUACCAUUUUAGAAUCUGAUUAUUAAAUUAAAAACAACACUAGAAUCUCUUGAAAGCUUAAUGAAACUAAAGUACUAGAAAUUAGUAAUAGAUUUAGACCAAUAAAUCUUUAGUGGGACUAAGAAUCAUGGUACUAGAAAAUCAAGUAACUAC